This 1119-nucleotide long non-coding RNA is filed under the name Malus domestica (apple). RNAcentral's name for it is "long non-coding RNA (MDOM_LNC003200)". The record is from RNAcentral. Lineage: Eukaryota; Viridiplantae; Streptophyta; Magnoliopsida; Rosales; Rosaceae.
AAUAACCGUUAAAUCGUGAUUUUUUGUUUUAUAACCGUCGAAAUGUUUUGUCUCAUUACUUGAUCUCUGAAUGUUUGUUUUUUGUGAUUUUUGGCGUAUGCGAUCUCAAAGCAUAUAUAAACAAGAUUGGCGGUUGGAUCGUUGAAAUUAGUUCCAUAGAAUUCGUAUCCCAUCAAAACGAUAGAUUCACUAACACUUAGAGUUUAUUUAUACUUUCAUUAAGUAUAACAUAAGAUUUUGUGUUAUCCACUUGUGUAAAUAUUUUAAAUUGACGAUCGAAUUCAUUCAUUGUAUUCGUAUAGGGUCAACAAGUGUAGUUGCAAAAAAUCAUCAAAAUCGGAGUUAAAAUAACCGUUAAAUCGUGAUUUUUUGUGUUAUAACCGUCGAAAAGUUUUGUCUCCUUACUUGAUCUCUGGAUGUUUGUUUUUUGUGAUUUUUGGCGUAUGUGAUCUCGAAGAAUAUACAAACAAGUUUGACGGUUGGAUCGUUGAAAUUCGUUUCAUAGAAUUUGUAUCCCAUCAAAACGAUAGAUUCACUAACACUUAGAGUUUAUUUAUACUUUCAUUAUGUAUAACAUAAGAUUUUGUGGUAUCCACUUGUGUAAAUAUUUUAAAUUGACGAUCGAAUUCAUUCAUUGUAUUCAUAUAGGCUCAACAAGUGUAGUUGCAAAAAAUCAUCAAAAUCGAAGUUAAAAUAACCGUUAAAUCGUGAUUUUUUGUUUUAUAACCGUCGAAACGUUUUGUCUCAUUACAUGAUCUCUGGAUGUUUGUUUUUUGUGAUUUUUGGCGUAUGAGAUCUCGAAGCAUAUACAAACAAGUUUGACGGUUGGAUCGUUGAAAUUAGUUUCAUAGAAUUUGUAUCCCAUCAAAACGAUAGAUUCACUAACACUUAGAGUUUAUUUAUACUUUCAUUAAAUAUAACAUAAGAUUUUGUGGUAUCCACUUGUGUAAAUAUUUUAAAUUGACGAUCGAAUUCAUUCAUUGUAUUCAUAUAGGGUCAACAAGUGUACUUAUAAAAAAUCAUCAAAAUCGAAGUUAAAAUAACCGUUAAAUCGUGAUUUUUUGUUUUAUAACCGUCGAAAAGUUUUGUCUCAUUACUUGAUUUUUGAAUGUUUGUUGU